GCGGUGAGGGCGACAGCCCAGGGGACAUCAGAGGACCAGGUGAGCAGGAGGAAAGAUCUGGAAGCACAAGCGUACCCCGGCGGCAGGAACUGACAAGCAGCUGGGAAAGGACCACUGCCUGGGGACACUGGAUGGAGGAAGCUUGAAGGAAGACACUGGGCCUUGUUCUCCGUCUGAAAUGCUGAUCAUCUUGAGACUCAUCUGCGUGGUUGCGAGUGUCAGAGCUGUUCCUUUUCACUGCUGCGUAAUAUUCCACUAUAUUGAUGAUCCUCAUCUGCUUGCUGAUCGGCCCAGUGAGCGCUCACCAUGCAAGUGCAGGGGUCACCCUGGGAUGGUGUUCUGGAGGCUGGAAGUCCAAGAUCAAGGUGCCGGCAGAUCCGGUGUCUGGUGAGGGCUGCUUCCUGGUGUGUAGACGGCUGCCCUCUCCCCAUAUCCUCACGUGGCAGAGAGAUGAAGCACGCUCUCUCAAGUCUUCUUAUAAGGGCACUAAUCCCACCAUGGGGGCUCCACCCUCCUGACAUCAUCACCUCCUGAAGACCCUGCCUCCUAAUACCAUCACGCUGGGGAUUGGGGUUCCAAUACAUGAGUCUGGGGGGACACACACAUUGAGUGCAUAGCACUCGUUGACCUCCUGCCCUGGAUUGCCCAGCUGCUCUGUCUAGAAGCCCAACUUCCCUGUGACUGCAGCCCUGCUCUCACUCCAAUCGCCAUUCAUGGUCAGGGCUGGGGCUGGGUGCCCUGCCCAGCCCUUGGACCCCUCCUGCAGGAGGCCAGCUGCUGCGUCCCAGGUCCCCAGGCUCGGACGUGAGGCUGCUGGGAAUCCGAGGGCUCUGGACUCACCCUUCAGUGACUCAUGGUCUGCAUCCCCUGGAAGUGUCCAAAGCAGCGCAAUGUCCCUAACGGCUUCCUCUCCACCCAAGCCCAAUGCUGCAGGCUCUCUGGAAGCUUCAGUCCUGUGGCUUUGCUCCAGACCACAGGGAGUCUCUCCAGGGCCCUAAUAUUUGUUCCAACCUCCUGGGUUCUCUCACUCCCGUUCUGUUGUUUCCACCCUGGCCUUUGUUGCUGAGCCCAGACAUUCCCUCUUCUGACCUUGUCUAUUGACCCAUCUUUCCAGCUUUGUCACUAGGCACUGCCCUUGGGACAUCUUUGGUGCCAUGCUCAGUACCCCACAGGGCCAAUCUUGUUCACUUCCCUGAGCUCCACGUGGCCACUACAGCUCAAGACAGCCUGAGGGGGAGGAAGGAGAGUGGCCUCUCAUUGCCACAUACCACCCACUGCAGGGCACCUUGGCACCAAGCUUGCCUGGACCACUGUUGAUGGAUUGGCCUUGCCCUCUGACCCCCAGCCUCACUCUGUCCCACUACUCUGGGCAAGGGCACCUGUGCCCAGAGGUUCCUCCAGCCCCUCUUCUGUGCCCUACUGCUCCCCUUUCCCGAGGACCCCAGACCCCCAUUAUAACCAAGGGCACAUAACCCAGCUUACUCAGUCAGAAACCCAUACCCGUGAAGACCACGUGAGCUCAAGAUCACGUAGAAACUUAACACUCAGCGAUUGGCACACAAGGGCCAGAUGUGAGCCAAAAGUGAAUGAAAGACUAUUUACAAACAGUCUUCUUUUGCCAGGAAUUCUGCCUAAUACCCGGCUUUAUGAUGUACUUUCUAUGGAAUUUCACUUGAAUGGCUCACAAUUAUAUACUUAACUACCUGCAGCUUCAUUUGCCAUGAUCAAGGGCUCAGUCCGGCCAGGGCGACACCUGGCAACAGUCAUUUAGAGGAAGCUGGUGGUGGCUACAUGAGAAGGCCACAUCAUCCCAUUUGUUCACAUCUUCUGAUCAAAUAAUGGAAACACUGAUUUCAACUAAAUAUCUUAGACAAGCCAACGCCUCAGGGCAAGGAAGCCACUUUUCUCUGGAUGCUCACAAACCAGGAUCCCUGAAACUGCACCACACCACGGUCCCUCUUCAGCCGUAAAAGUGGUCCUGCAUCCUCUGAGCGGCAGUACAUCCUACCAGGUGGCCCGCUUUUUUGUUUUUCUGCCAGCAUGAUUUUAAUGCAUGUCUACUUAAUUAUACUUAAUGCCCCUGGUUAAACUGACUCCUUUGAAGAGGAAAAGACUAAUUUGCAUGCGAAUGCAAACAGAACAAACAGAAGUAGAUGCUGGGGGAAGGAAGGAAGAUUUUUUUAUAGGUUAUCAAGAUAGCAACACAGGUGCCUCAUUUUCUACAUAGAGGUCUACUGAUAUCGGAGCUUAAUGUUUAUAAAGCACUAAGCAAUUUGCAAGGGCUCCCGCAUACAUGACCUCAUUAUAUCAAGAGCACUUCAGUGACAUGGCUUCCAUUCCUGCGCUUAGAGAAAGGGUAUCAGGCAGGACUCAGGAGCCGCUCACGCCCGCCAGGGGCUCCAAGACCAGCCGCCUUCAAGCCCUGGCAAGUCUUCUCCACUCUGUGUGUGCCUCCAGGUCAGACCCUUGGUUCUCACUCCUGUUUCCCAUAGGGCCAGAGGCUGGUGAACAUGAGUCAUUUGCUGGAUGCUUUUUGGAGGAAGGGGAUUAGGACCCAUCACUUGAGAUCUCAAGCAGACGCGUGCUCAUGCAUGAUGUAACACUGACACGGGGUUUGCCAGAACUGAGGCUUUAAAAAUGGUAAGAGAAUAUUAUUUUUCCCAAUCACCAUUUACAAGUAACUAAAGCCAUUUUCCACGGACUCCACUAAAAAUGCCAUUACUGGGCUAAAAACAAACAGAAAAUGUUGGAUCCUGAUGGAAGACUUUCCCCAAAUUAAAAGAAUGCAACCAAGUGCUGCACAGAGUGGUGGGGCCCUGACGCUCAAGCCGCAGACAAGCAGGGGGAGGGGAACUCCUUGUCUGACC
Long non-coding RNA from Balaenoptera ricei (Rice's whale), 2867 nucleotides. RefSeq lists it as uncharacterized. The transcript is spliced from 3 exons. NCBI's taxonomy places the organism in Eukaryota, Metazoa, Chordata, Mammalia, Artiodactyla, Balaenopteridae. The record is from RefSeq and is a predicted model, not a curated record.